RNAcentral lists this ribosomal RNA (1482 nucleotides) under Bacillus pumilus. RNAcentral's name for it is "bacterial SSU rRNA". It matches the Rfam family "Bacterial small subunit ribosomal RNA". The record is from RNAcentral. Lineage: Bacteria; Bacillati; Bacillota; Bacilli; Caryophanales; Bacillaceae.
GGCUCAGGACGAACGCUGGCGGCGUGCCUAAUACAUGCAAGUCGAGCGGACAGAAGGGAGCUUGCUCCCGGAUGUUAGCGGCGGACGGGUGAGUAACACGUGGGUAACCUGCCUGUAAGACUGGGAUAACUCCGGGAAACCGGAGCUAAUACCGGAUAGUUCCUUGAACCGCAUGGUUCAAGGAUGAAAGACGGUUUCGGCUGUCACUUACAGAUGGACCCGCGGCGCAUUAGCUAGUUGGUGAGGUAACGGCUCACCAAGGCGACGAUGCGUAGCCGACCUGAGAGGGUGAUCGGCCACACUGGGACUGAGACACGGCCCAGACUCCUACGGGAGGCAGCAGUAGGGAAUCUUCCGCAAUGGACGAAAGUCUGACGGAGCAACGCCGCGUGAGUGAUGAAGGUUUUCGGAUCGUAAAGCUCUGUUGUUAGGGAAGAACAAGUGCAAGAGUAACUGCUUGCACCUUGACGGUACCUAACCAGAAAGCCACGGCUAACUACGUGCCAGCAGCCGCGGUAAUACGUAGGUGGCAAGCGUUGUCCGGAAUUAUUGGGCGUAAAGGGCUCGCAGGCGGUUUCUUAAGUCUGAUGUGAAAGCCCCCGGCUCAACCGGGGAGGGUCAUUGGAAACUGGGAAACUUGAGUGCAGAAGAGGAGAGUGGAAUUCCACGUGUAGCGGUGAAAUGCGUAGAGAUGUGGAGGAACACCAGUGGCGAAGGCGACUCUCUGGUCUGUAACUGACGCUGAGGAGCGAAAGCGUGGGGAGCGAACAGGAUUAGAUACCCUGGUAGUCCACGCCGUAAACGAUGAGUGCUAAGUGUUAGGGGGUUUCCGCCCCUUAGUGCUGCAGCUAACGCAUUAAGCACUCCGCCUGGGGAGUACGGUCGCAAGACUGAAACUCAAAGGAAUUGACGGGGGCCCGCACAAGCGGUGGAGCAUGUGGUUUAAUUCGAAGCAACGCGAAGAACCUUACCAGGUCUUGACAUCCUCUGACAACCCUAGAGAUAGGGCUUUCCCUUCGGGGACAGAGUGACAGGUGGUGCAUGGUUGUCGUCAGCUCGUGUCGUGAGAUGUUGGGUUAAGUCCCGCAACGAGCGCAACCCUUGAUCUUAGUUGCCAGCAUUCAGUUGGGCACUCUAAGGUGACUGCCGGUGACAAACCGGAGGAAGGUGGGGAUGACGUCAAAUCAUCAUGCCCCUUAUGACCUGGGCUACACACGUGCUACAAUGGACAGAACAAAGGGCUGCGAGACCGCAAGGUUUAGCCAAUCCCACAAAUCUGUUCUCAGUUCGGAUCGCAGUCUGCAACUCGACUGCGUGAAGCUGGAAUCGCUAGUAAUCGCGGAUCAGCAUGCGCGGGGGAAUACCGUUCCCGGGCCUUGUACACACCGCCCGUCACACCACGAGAGUUUGCAACACCCGAAGUCGGUGAGGUAACCUUUAUGGAGCCAGCCGCCGAAGGUGGGGCAGAUGAUUGGGGUGAGC